RNAcentral lists this ribosomal RNA (402 nucleotides) under uncultured bacterium. Its description in RNAcentral is "bacterial SSU rRNA". It matches the Rfam family "Bacterial small subunit ribosomal RNA", at positions 355 to 774 of the family's 1533-position model. The record is from RNAcentral.
UGGGGAAUAUUGCACAAUGGGCGAAAGCCUGAUGCAGCAACGCCGCGUGAGUGAUGAAGGCCUUCGGGUUGUAAAGCUCUGUCUUCUGGGACGAUAAUGACGGUACCAGAGGAGGAAGCCACGGCUAACUACGUGCCAGCAGCCGCGGUAAUACGUAGGUGGCAAGCGUUGUCCGGAUUUACUGGGCGUAAAGGAUGCGUAGGCGGAUUUGUAAGUCAGAGGUGAAAUCUUACAGCUUAACUGUGAAACUGCCUUUGAUACUGCAAACCUAGAGUAUGGAAGAGAGUGAUGGAAUAUCUGGUGGAGCAGUGAAAUGCGUAGAUAUCAGAUAGAACACCAACGGCGAAAGCAGUCAGUUGGGCCAUUACUGACGCUAAAGCACGAAAGCGAGGGUAGCAAACA